CUUUAAACCCCCAUUUUAUAGCGGUUUAUGUUGCAGCAAUACGGUUAUUCGUUUUAGUUUUGUGCGCGUCACUGUCCGCUGCUCCUGACGCACCAAUUCAGCGCAUUUUCCAGCAGAGAUCAUUGUGAGAUCAUCGAUCGGGAGGAUGACAGCUCGAGUGUAUUGCUCGUUGAUUGCUGUUUUGUGUCUGUCUGGAUACUUGAGCAUUACAGACGCUACUCCAGGAAAAAACACAGCAAAGCCUGGAGAGUGUCCACCCCAAUCAUCUGGAAUAAAAUCGUGUACCACGUCCUGUAACCGUGACGCUAACUGUCCCAACAAUGAGAAGUGCUGCAGCAAUGGAUGUGGACGUUACUGUACGGCUCCAUAUAAAGUGAAGCUGGGUCAAUGUCCCCAACCGCAGAAGACCAAAGCAUGUGCUGAAAGCUGUUUCCAUGAUGGCCAGUGUCCUGCCACACAGAAAUGUUGCCCAACCACCUGUGGCCAUGCAUGCAGUGAACCACAUGGUCAGCGAAGUGGGCAGGGAAAUGGUGGGGGAAGUGGUCCAGGUCAGGGAAGUGGGCGGGGAAGUGGUCCAGGUCAGGGAAAUGGUCGGGGAAGUGGUCCAGGUAGGGGAAGUGGGCAGGGAAAUGGUCGGGGAAGUGGGGAAGUGGUCAAGGAAGUGGUUGGGAAAGUGGUCCUGGUUGGGGAAGUAGUCAAGGAAAUGGUCGGGGAAGUGGCCAUUGAAAUGGGCAUUUUGCAUAACACUUACUCGAGAUCUUUUCAAUUCAGUGCUUUAUUCAUAUGGCAUGUGUUCCAUGUUUGCUCAAACGGUUUCGAAAGAUUUUCUCUUUUCACCCCCCCCCUCCCAAAAUAAAAAAAAUAAUUGCUU
Molecule: RNA transcript, 871 nt
Organism: Sinocyclocheilus rhinocerous
Lineage: Eukaryota; Metazoa; Chordata; Actinopteri; Cypriniformes; Cyprinidae
Gene name: WAP four-disulfide core domain protein 5-like
Exons: 5
Source: RefSeq, a predicted model, not a curated record